Molecule: ribosomal RNA, 406 nt
Filed under: uncultured bacterium
Lineage: Bacteria
Description: partial 16S ribosomal RNA
Rfam family: Bacterial small subunit ribosomal RNA
Source: RNAcentral
AUUGAACGCUGGCGGCAUGCCUUACACAUGCAAGUCGGACGAGUGGCGAACGGGUGAGUAAUGCAUCGGAACGUACCGAGUAGUGGGGGAUAACUGUCGGAAACGACAGCUAAUACCGCAUAUUAUUCGAGCGGCCGAUUUCGGAUUGGCUGGUGGGGGGGGUAAAGGCCCACCAAGGCGACGAUCCGUAGCGGGUCUGAGAGGAUGAUCAGCCAAACUGGAACUGAGACACGGUCCAGACUCCUACGGGAGGCAGCAGUGGGGAAUAUUGGACAAUGGGCGCAAGCCUGAUCCAGCCAUGCCGCGUGUAUGAAGAAGGCCUUCGGGUUGUAAAGGACUUUUAGCAGGGAGGCGUUACCUGCAGAAUAAGCACCGGCUAACUACGUGCCAGCAGCCGCGGUAAUUC